RNAcentral lists this ribosomal RNA (609 nucleotides) under uncultured archaeon. RNAcentral's name for it is "bacterial SSU rRNA". It matches the Rfam family "Archaeal small subunit ribosomal RNA", at positions 1 to 607 of the family's 1478-position model. The record is from RNAcentral.
CUAGAUUUCCGGUUGAUCCUGCCGGACCUGACUGCUAUCGGAUUGGUACUAAGCCAUGCGAGUCGUUGUACAAUACAAGGCGGACUGCUCAGUAACACGUAGUUAACUUAACCUAUGGAUGGGGAUAACCUCGGGAAACUGAGAAUCAUACCCAAUGGACCACAGUGCCUGGAAUGGCCUGUGGUUGAAAUGAUUUAUCGCCGUAGGAUAGGACUGCGGCCUAUCAGCUUGUUGGGGUUNGACGGUAAUGGCCCACCAAGGCUAUAACAGGUACGGGCUCUGAGAGGAGGGGCCCGGAGAUGGGUACUGAGACACGGACCCAGGCCCUAUGGGGCGCAGCAGGCGAGAAACCUUUGCAAUGUGCGAAAGCACGACAAGGUUAAUCCGAGUGUCUCCUGCUAAAGGAGUCUUUUGUCAGUUGUAGAAUCACUGGUGAAUAAGGGGUGGGCAAGUUCUGGUGUCAGCCGCCGCGGUAAAACCAGCACCUCGAGUGGUCAGGAGGUUUAUUGGGCCUAAAGCAUCCGUGGCCGGUUGCAUAAGUUUUCGGUUAAAUCUAUGCGCUUAACGUAUAGGCCGCCGAAAAUACUGUGCAGCUAGGGAGUGGGAGAG